GUGACUUACGUAAGUAUGAUCUCAAGCCAUGAGAAGGAUGUUGCCCAAUUAACAACAUGUUUUAAUUCAGGGGUAUUUAUCAAUGCCAGCCAUUAAAAGUCUCUCUUUUUCAGUGAUCAGGAACAGUAAACCCCUAUCAUUUGCCAUGUGGAAACCGAACCUUCACUAACUUUAUAUGCAAGGAAGCAAGUUUUAUCAAGAUCACCAUACUAUGACAAAAUGGAAGUUGUACACCCAAACAAACUUGCUGCCUGUGAUCUGGAGCAGUCUGUGAGUGAUCUGGAGCCAUCUGCCCGUGAUCUGGAGCUAUCUGUGGAUAGUCAGGAGCAGUCUGCAGAACCCACAAGAGGAGGACACACUCUGGUAAGGAGGGGUGUACCUUGAGGAACUGAAGAAACUUGAAGCCAAGUAUCCUAUACGACUGGUAUGGAAAAGAUCUAUUGGCACCAAGACAUUCUACUUAAAUACUGGACUGCAAUGGAACUAGUCUGGAAAAACAACUCUUUGGGGGAAAAACUGAUUUCCAUGGCCUUUUUCAGACUCAGACCAGGAUUGGUGUCUGGUUAAGUGAUCUGCUCAGAGUCACACAAAGUUAGCCAAUGGAGGCUGAGGAAUCAAACCUUGCAACACUGGACCACAGGAAAGAGCAUAACCACAACUUAAUCCUCUAAGCCAACUGCUUGACAUAAUAAAUACAAUUUCUUUAAUUAAACAUCUUCAAACAUA
Molecule: long non-coding RNA, 726 nt
Organism: Protopterus annectens (West African lungfish)
Lineage: Eukaryota; Metazoa; Chordata; Ceratodontiformes; Protopteridae
Exons: 3
Source: RefSeq, a predicted model, not a curated record